GUUUAGAGUGACCUGCUGGAUAUCCGUGAAGGUGAAAAUAAAGAGAGUUCAAAAUGUGUUUGUUUACAAAACCACGAGUCUAACAUAACAUGGGCAUGGAGUAGUGGGGAAUAAUGUGACAAGAAUGCUGUCCAUGAGUCUAGAUUUUGAGUUGUUAGGAAGGAUGAGACUGGACUUCAAUGAGAAGAGGAUACUGGGGUACACAGGCAGGUGAGCAGACUCUUAAAACAACUAUAAAUUUCAAUUUACAGGGUUAUUGAGUGAAUAUGUCUCCCCCAAAUCCACGUGUUGAAAUCUUAGCCCACAAUGUGAUGAUAUUAGUAGGUGGUGCCUUUUGGCGGUGAUUAGGUCGUGAGGGUGGAGCCCUCAUGAAUAGGAUUUGUGCCCUUAUAAAAGAGAUUCUAGAGAGCUUUCUCACUCCUUUCCACCACGUGAGAACACAGUGAGAAGACAGUAUCCAUGAAUCAGCAAGAAGGCCCUCACCAGUCACCAAAUCUUCUAGCACCUUGAUCUUCGAAGCCUCAGCCUCCAGAAUUGUGAGAAAUAAAUGUUUGCUGUUUAAGCCACCCAAUGAUGUUUUUGUUGUAACAGCCCAUGGACUAAGACUAUAUAUAUAUGUGUAUGCAUAUGUACAUAUGUAUACAUAUAUGUAUACAUAAUAUUAAUUAUAUAUACACAUUCAGUAUGGCAUCUAUAGCACAGAAUGUUAAUACCUUCAUCAUCAUUUUAUCUGAAGAAAACCAGUCAACAUUCACUGUGAUUUUUAAAUUUUGCAGUUUUUGAUGAUAGACUUAGUAGGAAAUAGACAUGUGGGAAGUUUCCAAUAUGCCUUCUGUACCUAUCACUGAGGAGCUCUGAGCUGAGAUUAUAAUGAGUAGAGCUGUAUUAGAAAACAUUCUCCAUUCUGCUGCACUUCCUCCGGGCUGAGUGAACACGCCGUUUCUUACUGAGUAUGUUUUAUUUAGCAUUUCAGCCAGCUUUCCAAUUUAGCUAACUUUCAGGUUCUCUUGUUAACUUACUUACUUGUGUGCCCAAGUAGAAUUGGAACACCUCUUUUGCAUAAUCACAAUCAGUAGAAUUGGAACACCUCUUUUGCAUAAUCACAAUCUGUUGACCCCUUAUCUUUUGAAGAUCUGAUGCACAAACUCAGGGCAAUGCUGGUUCCCAACUGGAACUGUGGACCUCAGUGGUGUUGAACAAUCGGGAAAAGAAACAUAAAAUGGAAAGGUCUCCACCAGUCAACCGUAAGAAACAGUGAUGACUAUGAUGUAGCCUUCAGCAUGGGGAAGUACCAAGUAGGUGUCCAGAUAAGCUGAAAGGCAAUGAAGUGACAGGAAGGAAAGGUCUGGGACUGCCUCACCAGCAGAAAUACACCAGGCACCUGGAAGUCCUUGCUGGUCACUUGCUCACUGCUCAGGGCAGGACCACUCAAGCUGGUGCCUGCAUUCUAUGCUACCAGCAGCAGCUGCCCUAGCUUCUUUACCACAUCAACGUUUUCAUACACAUUAUCUCACAAUUUGUCUGCUAAGACUUCAGCUGUAAUUUAUGAAGCACUGAAGGGACUACAUCCAUCCGAGUGAUAGAAACUCCAGGCUGAAGCUGUUCAAGCAAUCCUAACUCGUCUUAUGUAUCAAUAACCCCAGUACCUGGCACUGAGCAAUAUCAAAAAUUGGAGAGAAUAAACUGUGGAUAUAUAUUUUUAAAAUUUAGCUCACUAGGAUAAGAGAAUCUGAUUGCAGACUUUAUGUUCUUUGGACUUUAAUUUGUAAAGUGAUUGAAUAUUUGGACUUAAAUUUCUCUCCAGGAAUUUGAAAAUGGUAGGGAGUUUGUAUUCAAACUUAGGGCAUCUUUAUGUUGACAGUCGAUUAAAUAUCUUAAUCAGGUUGUUUGAUCUCUACAACCUGUUAUGCUGUCUUUUAGAAACAUGACUAUAUAUAAUUUGAAAUGGGGAAUAGGAAAUAGAUUUUGAGCCUUGGCUACAGUAUAGUCUUGGAGCUAAUUUCAUGGAUGUACAGGUGUCAUUAAUCUCAGAGCUUGUGAGGGGGAAAUCCACACUGUCUAUAGUGAUCCCAUGGUGACUGCCAAAGCAGCAUUAGUUGGCCCUGGGAGAAUGGCCAGUAGGAGUAAGACUGUCUUGACAGGUUGCUGAUCUCUUCUGAGGGCAACAGCCACACUGCAGGAGGAAAACAAACAGCUGAGAGUGGUGGCCUAAAAAGGUGCUAGUCAGAUUUCCUGUGGAGGGGAGCACAGUUGACUCAAAACCCCAAAUGCCACCCCUCUGGAUCCAGCACCAUGUGCGGUGCUGCCAAAUUCUUCCAGGAUGGUCCCAGCCAACCAAUGCUGAGCCUGGUGGGAGUAGUGGUACAGGGUCCAUUCCUGCCUGAUGUGAAACUUUGCUGGCAGGUGAUUGGCUUGAGGACUUUCCAUUGGUCUUUUCAAAACUUUCUUAGAACUGCACCAUGCUACCCAAUCAUUGUUCCUUCCUUUAGCCUUCCCCACACUGCCUCCCACAGGUGCCAGACUUACCUCUUGGUCUGAGGCCGUCCUUACUUACUCAUGCUUCCUCCCUGUACCCUUCAUAGGCAUGUCCCCCAGUAAAGCUCUUGCACAUUUCACCUCGUCUUGGUGUCAGCUUCUCAGAGGUCCUGAACUAACGCACUAAAAAAUCUUAGGGGAAUGAAAGGAUUUUUAAAAUGCAAAGUUAAAAUGAAAUGCUUAUGGGAUCUCCUUGCCACUGCCUUCUCCUUCUCCUCCAGCCCAAGUUCCUCUGGAUACAUUUUGCAAACCACUUCACAACAUAGGAAGUAUGGAGGAAAAUGUGGUUUUACUGUGAGAAGAAAAAUAUAGAUGAUUCUUUAGGAAAUUCUGACGAGAGCAGAUGAAGGCUGAAUUGGAUCCCAAGACAGGAGAAGGUAUUAAAGGUGAUAAAUAUAAGACAGGGAAAGUCACACUUUAAGCUGAACAAAGAACUCUGGCUAAAGGAUUUGAAUCUCUUUUAGCUCCAAAGAAAGUUCCAGGUAAGGUUCUGAAGCAGGGAGUUUGUCAUAGUUAAGAAAGGAAGCAAUUAAAGUAAGAAAGUAUCUUAGAAGCAUUUUCCAGGUCAGUAUGAAUAGUAACAAAAUUCCAGAGAUAGUGCUAACCAGACAGGGGGAGGGAGAGACUGGAGGCAAAAUAUAAUGCUCCUGAGCCUGAUUUAAGCAGCUAAAGCAAAGUCCAGGCCAGGGAAAUGGAGGGCAGUGGCAAGAUACCACGGAGAGGUUUGUUACUCAGAAGACUGCUUGUAUUUUUGAAGUACAUUUUCAAAGGGUAAAAAGCAGUUUGAACUUAGCACCCACCAGAUGCAAAAUGAAUGUAUCAAUAUUUUAAAACAAUAUACAGCAUGGAGAGCUAGUCACACUUUAAAUAAUUAAUUCCCUGGUAAUUAACCUAAGAAUGACAUGAUAAAAGAGAAACUUCCCCAGUGUGUGUCAGAUUAUGUACAUUUAAAAUUUAAAACUUUCAUAAGGUAUACAAGGGGGCCAAGAGGAUCACAGAUUCAGAGGCUACACUGAAAAGUCAGAAGCAGUCUCCAGAUUUUGAUAGAUUUCUGGAAAGAUGUGUCAAAAGAUCAGCUUGACACGGACAGCUGGGCUUCCUUGAAAAUUAAGUUUCUGUGUACAGAGUUCUUCAGGUAUCCAAUUUCUACUCUCACCUCUGCCUCCAGAAGCAGGUCUCACAGGACUCCACUGCAGCAAAGACCUGUCAGAUCCCCCCGUUGC
This 3758-nucleotide long non-coding RNA is filed under the name Homo sapiens (human). RNAcentral's name for it is "HSALNT0360103". The record is from RNAcentral. Lineage: Eukaryota; Metazoa; Chordata; Mammalia; Primates; Hominidae.